This 1955-nucleotide ribosomal RNA is filed under the name human gut metagenome. RNAcentral describes it as "bacterial LSU rRNA". It matches the Rfam family "Bacterial large subunit ribosomal RNA", at positions 1 to 1977 of the family's 2925-position model. The record is from RNAcentral.
GAAAGUAAACAAGGGCGCAUGGAGGAUGCCUAGGCUCUCGGAGGCGAAGAAGGACGUGAUAAGCUGCGAAAAGUUACGGUAAGGCGCAAAUAGCCCUAGACCCGUAAAUAUCCGAAUGGGGCAACCCGGCCAGCAAUGGCCAUACCGCCAAGCGGUAAGCCAACGCGGGGAACUGAAACAUCUAAGUACCCGCAGGAAAAGAAAAUAACAAUGAUUCCGCCAGUAGUGGCGAGCGAACGCGGAACAGCCCAAACCACUCGUGUUACGGCACGAGUGGGGUAGAAGGAUCCACGAUACGGCAAGAAAUAAGUUAGCAGAAUACGAUGGAAAUCGUAGCCAAAGACGGUGACAGCCCAGUACGCGAAAACCGACAGAAGCCCAGUGGACACCUGAGUAACCCAGGACACGAGAAAUCCGGGGCGAAUCAGCGGGGCCCAUCCCGUAAGGCUAAAUACUCCCGAGAGACCGAUAGCGAACCAGUACUGUGAAGGAAAGGUGAAAAGCACUUCGAAUAGAAGAGUGAAAUAGUCCCUGAAACCGUGCGCCUACAAGCGGUCGGAGCAGCGUAAGUUGUGACGGCGUGCCUUUUGCAUAAUGAACCUACGAGUUACUUUUUCCGGCAAGGUUAAGCAUUUCAAAAUGUGUAGCCGAAGCGAAAGCGAGUCUGAACAGGGCGAUUAGUCGGAAGGAGUAGACGCGAAACCAAGUGAUCUACCCUUGGUCAGGUUGAAGGUUAGGUAACACUAACUGGAGGACCGAACCGAUAAGCGUUGAAAAGCUUCCGGAUGAACUGAGGGUGGGGGUGAAAGGCUAAUCAAACUUGGAGAUAGCUCGUACUCCCCGAAAUGCAUUUAGGUGCAGCCUUGGGAAUUACUACUGUGAGGUAGAGCGACUGAUAAGAUGCGAGGGCUUCACCGCCUAUCAAGUCUUGAUAAACUCCGAAUGCGCAGUAGUUCGAUCCCAGGAGUGAGGGCAUGGGUGCUAAGGUCCAUGUCCUAAAGGAGAAGAAUCCGGACCAUCAGCUAAGGUCCCGAAAUAAUUGCUAAGUUGAACUAACGAAGUCAGAUUGCUAAGACAGCUAGGAUGUUGGCUUGGAAGCAGCCAUUCAUUUAAAGAGUGCGUAACAGCUCACUAGUCGAGGAGUUUGGCGUGGAUAAUAAUCGGGCAUUAAGCAAUUUACCGAAGCUAUGGGAUCAGUAAUGAUCGGUAGGGGAGCAUUCCACUCUGCGUCGAAGGUGAAGCGUGAGCUUUGCUGGAGCGUGUGGAAAAGCAAAUGUAGGUAUAAGUAACGAUAAAGGGGGUGAGAAACCCCCUCGCCGAAAGACUAAGGUUUCCUGAUCAACGCUAAUCGGAUCAGGGUUAGUCGGGUCCUAAGGCUCAGCCGAACGGUGAGGCCGAUGGCAGAACAGGUUAAUAUUCCUGUACUACCUUAAGGAGUGACGUGGAGACGGAGCAGUGAUAGCGCCGCGGACUGACGGAAUAGUCCGUUGAAGGGUGUAGAUGUUGAUCUUUGCAGGCAAAUCCACAAAGAGAGUCGAACCUGAUAGUAUGGAACGUUCUUCGGAACAAUCCAAUAGUGCGUGUAAGCAUACUCCCAAGAAAAUCCGCUAAACUUAAUCUUUAAGGUACCCGUACCGCAAACGGACACACGUAGUCGGGUUGAAUAUACUAAGGCGCUUGAGUGAUUCACGGUUAAGGAACUAGGCAAAUUGACCCUGUAACUUCGGGAUAAAGGGUCCCAACGAGAGUUGGGCGCAGAGAAUAGGUCCAGGCAACUGUUUAACAAAAACACAUGGCUGUGCUAAAUGGAAACAUGAUGUAUACAGCCUGACACCUGCCCGGUGCCGGAAGGUUAAGAGGAGAUGUCAUCCGCGAGGAGAAGCGUUGAAUUGAAGCCCCGGUAAACGGCGGCCGUAACUAUAACGGUCCUAAGGUAGCGAAAUUCCUUGUCGGGU